This 823-nucleotide ribosomal RNA is filed under the name Engystomops petersi (Peters' dwarf frog). RNAcentral describes it as "partial large subunit ribosomal RNA". It matches the Rfam family "Bacterial large subunit ribosomal RNA", at positions 1523 to 2571 of the family's 2925-position model. Lineage: Eukaryota; Metazoa; Chordata; Amphibia; Anura; Leptodactylidae. The record is from RNAcentral.
AUACUAUUAUUUACAAUGAACCCUUUAUUUUUACUGAAUAUUUCUAUAAAGUUAUAGAACCUUUUAUGUUGAAACUAGUAACAAGAAGUUAAACUUCUCCUCAAUAUAAGUAUAAGUCGACUAGGAUAAACCAUCGACAAUUAACGCUUAAAUUAAAUGUAUUAACUCCACAAGAAAAACUUACAUUACCCCACGUUAAUCUUACACCAGAACAUUUAAGGAAAGAUUUAAAAAAAAGGAAGGAACUCGGCAAACAUUAACCCCGCCUGUUUACCAAAAACAUCGCCUUCUGAUAUAUUAUAGAAGGUCCAGCCUGCCCAGUGAAUUAAUUUAACGGCCGCGGUAUCCUAACCGUGCGAAGGUAGCGUAAUCACUUGUUCUUUAAAUGAGGACUAGUAUGAAUGGCACCACGAAGGUUAUACUGUCUCCCUUUUUUGAUCAGUUAAACUAAUCUUCACGUGAAGAAGCGUGAAUAAACAUAUAAGACGAGAAGACCCUAUGGAGCUUAAAAUUACACAACAAUUGUUAAAAAAAUCCUAAAUUUUAUAAAUAAUUUUUUACUAAACACCAUGAUUGCUAAUUUUUGGUUGGGGUGACCGCGGAGUAAAAAUUAACCUCCACAAUGAAAGAAAUCAAUAUUCUAAACUAAGAGCUACAACUCAAAGUAUUAAUAUUUUAACAUUCUUUGAUCCAAUAUUUGAUCAACGAACAAAGUUACCCUAGGGAUAACAGCGCAAUCUACUUUGAGAGCUCCUAUCGACAAGUAGGUUUACGACCUCGAUGUUGGAUCAGGGUAUCCUAGUGGUGCAGCCGCUACUAAUGG